Molecule: ribosomal RNA, 460 nt
Filed under: uncultured bacterium
Lineage: Bacteria
Description: partial 16S ribosomal RNA
Rfam family: Bacterial small subunit ribosomal RNA
Source: RNAcentral
CCUACGGGUGGCUGCAGUGAGGAAUAUUGGUCAAUGGGCGCGAGUCUGAACCAGCCAAGCAGCGUGCAGGAUGACUGCCCUAUGGGUUGUAAACUUCUUUUAUAAAGGAAUAAACUGAGGCACGUGUGCCUUUCUGUAUGUACUUUAUGAAUAAGGAUCGGCUAACUCCGUGCCAGCAGCCGCGGUAAUACGGAGGAUUCGAGCGUUAUCCGGAUUUAUUGGGUUUAAAGGGAGCGUAGAUGGGUUGUUAAGUCAGUUGUGAAAGUUUGCGGCUCAACCGUAAAAUUGCAAUUGAUACUGGCAGGCUAGAGAGCAGUUGCGGUAGGCGGAAUGCGUGGUGUAGCGGUGAAAUGCUUAGAGAUCACAAAGAACACCGAUUGCGAAGGCAGCUUACUAAGCUGCCACUGACAUUGAGGCUCGAAAGUGUGGGGAUCAAACAGGAUUAGAGACCCUUGUAGUC